GUGAAUCAUCAAAUUUUUGAACGCAAAUUGCACUCUCUUCGGAGAGUAUGACUGUUUGAGGGUCAGUAUUAAUAAAAAUCGGCGUGUUGCUCUUUUGUGCCGUUCCGGAGUUUGGGUCAUAUUAUAACAACACUCUUUCAGGGUAUUUUUACGAGGCUUAAACUUGACUUUUUUUGUGCAUUUUAGACGUAUUUACAUUUUUUUUUAUUCGUCUAUCUUAAUGCCAAUUCUCCAUUAGAUGCGACCAUAUCGUGUGGUUUCGAGUCUA
RNAcentral lists this unclassified non-coding RNA (268 nucleotides) under Rhizophagus irregularis. RNAcentral describes it as "partial contains 5.8S ribosomal RNA and internal transcribed spacer 2". The stretch from base 1 to 65 matches the Rfam family "5.8S ribosomal RNA", at positions 84 to 154 of the family's 154-position model. Lineage: Eukaryota; Fungi; Glomeromycota; Glomeromycetes; Glomerales; Glomeraceae. The record is from RNAcentral.